Molecule: ribosomal RNA, 472 nt
Filed under: uncultured organism
Description: partial 16S ribosomal RNA
Rfam family: Bacterial small subunit ribosomal RNA
Source: RNAcentral
UACACUCCUGCGGGAGGCAGCAGUGGGGAAUAUUGCACAAUGGGCGCAAGCCUGAUGCAGCCAUGCCGCGUGUAUGAAGAAGGCCUUCGGGUUGUAAAGUACUUUCAGCGGGGAGGAAGGCAAUACGGUUAAUAACCGUGUUGAUUGACGUUACCCGCAGAAGAAGCACCGGCUAACUCCGUGCCAGCAGCCGCGGUAAUACGGAGGGUGCAAGCGUUAAUCGGAAUUACUGGGCGUAAAGCGCACGCAGGCGGUCUGUCAAGUCGGAUGUGAAAUCCCCGGGCUCAACCUGGGAACUGCAUUCGAAACUGGCAGGCUUGAGUCUUGUAGAGGGGGGUAGAAUUCCAGGUGUAGCGGUGAAAUGCGUAGAGAUCUGGAGGAAUACCGGUGGCGAAGGCGGCCCCCUGGACAAAGACUGACGCUCAGGUGCGAAAGCGUGGGGAGCAAACAGGAUUAGAAACCCCGGUAGUCC